UAUAGUUUAUUUGAUGGUCAAUCGUUAUAUGGAUAACUGAGGUAAUUCUUGAGCUAAUACAUGCGCAAAAGCCCGACUUCUCGGAAGGGCUGUAUUUAUUAGAUACAGAACCAAUACUCCUCGGAGUUUUUUGGAUGAUUCAUAAUAAACGAACGGAGCGUAUGGCUUGUGCCGACGCUAUGUCAUUCAAGUUUCUGACCUAUCAGCUUUCGACGGUUGGGUAUUGGCCUACCGUGGCAUUGACGGGUAACGGAGAAUUAGGGUUCGAUUCCGGAGAGGGAGCCCGAGAAACGGCUACCACA
RNAcentral lists this ribosomal RNA (302 nucleotides) under uncultured eukaryote. RNAcentral describes it as "SSU rRNA". It matches the Rfam family "Eukaryotic small subunit ribosomal RNA", at positions 111 to 414 of the family's 1831-position model. The record is from RNAcentral.